AUCUGUCAAUGAUGCUUUGUAUUUUACCUACAUUGUUUGAAUGCCUGUGAGAACAUUCUUGUACACUGAGACAGAU
Small nucleolar RNA from Bufo gargarizans (Asiatic toad), 76 nucleotides. RefSeq annotates it as small nucleolar RNA SNORD34. The transcript has a single exon. NCBI's taxonomy places the organism in Eukaryota, Metazoa, Chordata, Amphibia, Anura, Bufonidae. The record is from RefSeq and is a predicted model, not a curated record.